This 253-nucleotide ribosomal RNA is filed under the name uncultured bacterium. RNAcentral's name for it is "partial 16S ribosomal RNA". It matches the Rfam family "Bacterial small subunit ribosomal RNA", at positions 524 to 776 of the family's 1533-position model. The record is from RNAcentral.
UACGAACUGUGCGAACGUUAUUCGGAAUCACUGGGCUUACAGGGUGCGUAGGCGGCUUAGCAAGUCAGGUGUGAAAGCCCCCGGCUCAACCGGGGAACUGCGCUUGAAACUGCUGAGCUCGAGUCAGCUAGAGGUACACGGAACUUCCAGUGGAGCGGUGAAAUGUGUUGAUAUUGGAAGGAACACCGGAGGCGAAAGCGGUGUACUGGGGCUGGUCUGACGCUGAGGCACGAAAGCGUGGGGAGCGAACAGG